UACGAAGGGGGCUAGCGUUGCUCGGAAUCACUGGGCGUAAAGGGUGCGUAGGCGGGUCUUUAAGUCAGGGGUGAAAUCCUGGAGCUCAACUCCAGAACUGCCUUUGAUACUGAAGAUCUUGAGUUCGGGAGAGGUGAGUGGAACUGCGAGUGUAGAGGUGAAAUUCGUAGAUAUUCGCAAGAACACCAGUGGCGAAGGCGGCUCACUGGCCCGAUACUGACGCUGAGGCGCGAAAGCAUGGGUAGCGAACAGG
Molecule: ribosomal RNA, 253 nt
Filed under: uncultured bacterium
Lineage: Bacteria
Description: partial 16S ribosomal RNA
Rfam family: Bacterial small subunit ribosomal RNA
Source: RNAcentral